CGGGCGCCGUCGCGAGCUGGGUUCCGUGCGGCUCCAGUGGUCCUGUAGCACCAUGGGAUUCAGCUCACGGCGGCCUCCA
RNAcentral lists this microRNA precursor (79 nucleotides) under Operophtera brumata (winter moth). Its description in RNAcentral is "mir-998 microRNA precursor family". It matches the Rfam family "mir-998 microRNA precursor family". Lineage: Eukaryota; Metazoa; Arthropoda; Insecta; Lepidoptera; Geometridae. The record is from Rfam by way of RNAcentral.